UCCUCUUUUGUUUUCAACCACACUUCCCCGCAUUUAACAGGCCCUGCCUGAUGGCUUUAACAGCAUUUCCUGUGGCACUCAUGCUAACACCUCUACCCGCAUUUGUAAGGGUCAGGAAACCUGAGCUUUAUGGCGGUUAAAGUAAGAUGCUGUAUUUUGGUGACGGGGGUGGGGGUUUGAUGGUGUCCAGAGGAGAGUAAGAACACUGACUGAAGCUUUAACCUGUCUUGCUCCCCUGACGUUAUGCGCCAUUAUGAAUAAGUCUCUAUGGACCACAAGGUGAACUCUUUCCCAUUUGGGCUGCCUUAGAACAAUGCCCAAUAAAAUCAGUAAACUGGAUUUUAUAUUUGUUUGCUUUACUGGAAGAAAAAGAAUAUAAAUUCAAAGAAAACAAAGGGUUUUUUUUUUGGCAGGUAUGAAUAAAUUGGUCUCAGUGACCUCAAAUCUA
Electrophorus electricus (electric eel) is the source of this 448-nucleotide long non-coding RNA. RefSeq lists it as uncharacterized. The record is from RefSeq and is a predicted model, not a curated record. NCBI's taxonomy places the organism in Eukaryota, Metazoa, Chordata, Actinopteri, Gymnotiformes, Gymnotidae.